CCUACGGGUGGCAGCAGUGGGGAAUAUUGCACAAUGGGCGCAAGCCUGAUGCAGCCAUGCCGCGUGUGUGAAGAAGGCCUUCGGAUUGUAAAGCACUUUCAGCGGGGAGGAAGGGGGUGAGGUUAAUAACCUCAUCGAUUGACGUUACCCGCAGAAGAAGCACCGGCUAACUCCGUGCCAGCAGCCGCGGUAAUACGGAGGGUGCAAGCGUUAAUCGGAAUUACUGGGCGUAAAGCGCACGCAGGCGGUCUGUCAAGUCGGAUGUGAAAUCCCCGGGCUCAACCUGGGAACUGCAUUCGAAACUGGCAGGCUAGAGUCUUGUAGAGGGGGGUAGAAUUCCAGGUGUAGCGGUGAAAUGCGUAGAGAUCUGGAGGAAUACCGGUGGCGAAGGCGGCCCCCUGGACAAAGACUGACGCUCAGGUGCGAAAGCGUGGGGAGCAAACAGGAUUAGAUACCCGAGUAGUC
This 465-nucleotide ribosomal RNA is filed under the name uncultured Klebsiella sp. Its description in RNAcentral is "bacterial SSU rRNA". It matches the Rfam family "Bacterial small subunit ribosomal RNA", at positions 338 to 795 of the family's 1533-position model. Lineage: Bacteria; Pseudomonadati; Pseudomonadota; Gammaproteobacteria; Enterobacterales; Enterobacteriaceae. The record is from RNAcentral.